UACCCCCAAUUUCAUGAGCAUUCAUGGCCCACCAUACAAUUUCCAUACCCCAAUGUAGCCCCCAGCCCAAAAAGUUUGCCCACCCCUGCUCUAAUACCUAUUCACGCAUUCAAAAUUGUGUACAUGCCAGUGGAGAGAAGGGUGAGUCCCCACUGGAAAUUAUGGCCUCUUAAUUAAUGCAGAGUCUUGGAAGAGGAUAUUAGAGGAUUCUUAAAAUAUGCAAAGAUUAUUAUUUUUUUUUCUCCCAACAGUUUAGUAUUUGACAUCAUUUUCUCCUGGAAUUUCUAAAACCAUGCUUUUCUGGCAGAGCAGCAGUCAUGAGAAAUUAGACAAAUCAGAUGAGUUUUUAAAAAGGUAGUUUUUUUGCAUGGGGAGGGAUGAAAGUCAGGCUUAUACAAAGAAAGAUUCCUUAAGUCUCCCUUGUAGAAAAACUGGAUGCUCAAAUGAAAAAAAGGCAACAUUUUGAUUUAGUGUUUUAAAAGCUCCAAAAUUUGAUUAUUGUUGUAUAAACAUUUCAGAACAAGAGUAUAGAAAAAGCAUACCCUUAAUUGUCAUUCUAGUUUCCUUUGCCACUAUACCCUUUGUAAAGAAUCACAUUAGUCUCUUAAUCUCAUGUAUUUUUCCACCCUCUUAUAUGAUGGCUGUAAUUUAAGCUACCAACUUCAGUCUACACAUGUUUUAAAUUAUGGGGAAGAUGAUUAUAUUCUGUGAAUAGGAGUCUCUUAAUGUUGUUUUCCUUAUGUUAGGUCAUGAAGAAAGAUUAAAGUCUUGUAGUAAUGCUGAUUUUUGUAACUUAAAUUUUUCAGUUUGGUAUUAAUUAAAAAAGGUUUGACCACUUCUUGCAAGCUAGUUCUACUAAUGAAUGACUAGUUUUGAAAUAUACCACCACUGCUCAUAAAAUUGUAACAAGGUGAGACUUCAAGACAAAUGGGGGUUUGCUAAAAAAAAAAAAAAAAUCUGUGAAGGGAUGGUGGUAAAUAUACCAUAAUGGGAAAUCACAAUGGAGCAUAUACUAUAAAAUAUUUUGCUUCAACUGGUUUCUGUGUAUGUAUAAAGAGGUCUGUUAAACCUUCUGUGGGUCAUAGUAGGACUAAUCCUACAUUUGUUCAGUGGCAUUCUUCCAACUGAUACAGUAAUUAUAUUAAAAGGUAUAAAAUCCCUUUCUUCAGAAAGCUUCAUCUUCCCUUGUCCUGUAAAGGCCCACAAUACAAGCUUUCGAAUACAGCCUUAAAAAACCAAGGCUAAAGACUGUUUAUUGCAUCUUUACAUUAAGACAUAUGACAGUUUCUCCUUACCUGUAAAUUUCCAGAACGGGAAGGUCCAUCAUUCCAGUUAUUUCCUGGGUGUGAGUGAGUCCUCAGAAGUGCACUGGAAUGCUCUGCAAAGCAGGAAAGUGCCAAAAAUUGCUAGAAGAUUCUGCCAGUGAGAGUUGAGCUACUGCCUAGGUGGUAUGUGGAAGCCUUCACUGCUGCUGCCACCUAUCCUGGACUACUGUGACCAAAGGAGUACUGCAGAUUGUUUGGGCCACUUGAAAAAUAAAAAUAAACCAGGAAGUUUAAUAGCAAGAAAAGUAACUGCAACUAAAAAUCAAAGUCACAACCACCUAAAGUAACCUACAUUAAAAAUAAAUGACAUUUUAUUACACAGAUCAGGAAUACUUAAUCAUAGUUCUGACUCACCAAUUAAAGAGACUUCCACUAACUUAAAACAACAAAAGCUUUUAAGGAAUCCAUAGAUCUGAGAAGGUAUUAGAAUCAACCAACCAUACAACGAUCUCCUCAGUUCCAGCCAUAUCAUCACAGAAUUUUUAAUAUCUAAGGAAGUGACCAUUUCUUAAAAUACAGAAAACAUCCUAACUCACUCAUUUUAGUCAAGCCUCAAAUCUAUGUAUUUUAAAUAGGAGUUAAUCUACUACCCAAAGCAAAGUCUGGGUGUAAAAUUAGUCCACACUAUUUAUCAACAGCCUCUGAAAGAAUUAGAAUUGAAAUGCAAGUUUCAAUAAUGAGAAAACAAACGUUUAAAUAAAGUCUUAAUUUCAAACCUACCAGCCACUAGAUUGUAACUGCUGUAGCCAAAUAACUCAUAGUAUAGCAAAAACAAAAUUGGGAUAAAUGUAGGUGAGGUUAAAUAGGCUGCAUUUAGAAAAUUGACACAGCAAGUAUUCCACUAGAGAUCAAAGAAGAAAUGAGAUGCCAGUAUAUUUCUUAAGUUUUUAAUCCUCUUGAACAGUGCACCAUCACAAUUUUUUAAAAAAGUUUCUGAAGCUUACUUCUUUAACUAAACUGUUUCGGCAGUGGCUUGUCUAUAAAUGUCUAUACUGGUUCACAUUCCUUACCUGUAUGACUACUUACCCUGUCAGGCUAAAAUGUGUAAUCACUGCACCAAAAAUAAUUCAGUGAGUUGUCUUAACAUAGAUCAAUUUCUGCCAAAGUUAGACAAUAUAUAGUCAAUAAAUUGUAUUUGAAUGUUAUACAAAAAGUAGCCAAUAUUCAUCCUACUUCUCCCAACAGCAUAUGUCCACAAUUACUAAGUUUGGCAAAGAGAUACCUUUAAAGUAGUUUGAGAUUUAAUAGUUUUCUUUUACAUUAAACCAUCUUAGUGCUGUAUACAGACAUACAUUCAAGGUGAAUUUCUCAAACUUGCUUGCAACCUGCAAAAGGCCCCAAAAUACUACUUAUGCCUUUGAAUGCAAGAGAAUUGCAUGGGCCUUUGGAUGUACACUGUUCAUCAUAUCGCUAACAUGAUGGGAUGACAUACAAGAUUAGUAUGACUAAGGAAAAUAAGGUUGGUUCUCUCUAGUUCAGGUAUCCUUUGUCCGAUGAAUUGUUACAAGUUAAGUUAGAAUAUUAAAUUAGUCAAACUUCAUGCUAAAGCAAAAAACGAGUUUUUAUUUAGUUUGCCAGGUAUUCUUUUAAUGACAAAAUUAUAAAAGACCAAAAACAUUGUAUUCUGAGACUGCCUUUUUUUUUUUUAAAUUGUCUGUUUUUAUAGUUACAAAUACUGCAUAAGACAAUGCCUUCUUGUACUGCAAAACCAAAAUACAAGCAUGAGUUUGUGUCUGAAAUUUCUAAAUUUAAGAAGUGUGCCUGAAUUUUCAGUUUAUUUAAUUAGGAUGUUACCCAAUAUCUCCUCACUUUUGUUUGAAGGUAUAACGAAGUACAUAUCAUCUGGAGCUGUUUUUCUGAUAAUUCUUCAAAUGUAAUUGCUCCUUUAUAAUUCAAUACAUUCACAAAAUAGCUGAAUUAAGAACAGUAUCACCAAUGAAUGGACUAUUGGGAAGAGACUAAUUUACCAAAUGUACAGAAGUAUAAGUUUUACCAUAAGCAAUUAUGCAUAUCAAAAGAUGACACCUGCAAUUAAUUUUUAAAAGGUACAAAAAAGAGGAAAACCUGAAUUACAGAAAAGAAAGUCAUUUAUUUAAUGAAAAACUAGAAGUUAAUAAAAAUUAGCAAAUACACAAAAAAUAUACACAAACAGCAGCAAUACUAUGUAGUGACUUAAGGGGAAAAAGCAGCGGCAAGAGACCAGACUGCUCAACAUGGCUUGUCAGUCAAAGGAAAAAAAACAAAAAAACAAAAAACACAACAGUAUCCUUUUCAACAGUACAAUCAAUCUACAAACAAGUUUUUAGAACUAUUUUACAACAUUUCCUGUAGAAUCAAUUCUUAAUACAAAAGAUGCCCAUUUUGGGUGUAUAUAUAUUUUCAGUGGUUUACUGUUGACUUAUUUUAAAUAUAUUAGUGUUACUACAUGCAACUGCUUCCUGUAAUUUAACAGCCUUUCCUUUUAUUUACCUUCAUAUACAUCUAGCCUCCCUCUACCAAAUAGCUUGUGUCUGGCAGUCAAAGAUGGUUACCCUAGUUUCUGCAAAAUUAAAUGCAACUGUUUUAAACACUGGCCUGAAAAUGUUUGCUUGCCAUUUCAACACAUUGAAAUAGUUACAUUGAUGCCUAAAUUGCCAUUUUCUGCAAAGAGCUGUGCAAUGCUGGUGUCAAAGACUAGACAGUCACUAUUCAUAAUGGCUGUUGCAAUUCCCUCAUGAAUAGAUCGAGGAGUUGCUUCCCAAGUCAAUCGCCGCCUAUGACCAUUAAGCUCAAGUCGAUAAGCAAAAUUUUCUGCUUGCUUGCGUGUUCCUAUCAGCUGUACAAUAGCAAAGAACUGCUGGUGACCAUCAUAUUUUUCCUGUUUCUCCAAGACUAACAUGAAAUGAAAGCCAAAACAAGAUUGCAUCAUAACCCAGUCAACAGCACCAGGAAGAUUAAUGUCUGUAGCAAGGAAAACUAUAUCUUCUCCCUGUAGUGUUGUUAUUGACUUAUGCUGAUGCAUCAAAUGUGGCAUAACAGCAUCCAGCGAACCUUGCCAUUUACAUGAAGCACCAGGACAUGGACAUGAAUAAGGCCUAAACUCACACAGCUCUUCAUGGUCUGCUUUUUCUGUGUGUGGCAAAGUUAUCUCACAUCCAGAAGAGGCGUAUUUACAUGGGAACAGUACAGAAUUGGCAACUUUUUCCAUAGCCAAAUUACGAAUGGAACCCAGUGGGCCUCGGCAAGUUGGACAGCAUGUAAGCUUGGGGCGACAGUUGCUACAAACAAGAUGGCCACUCUGACAUUGAAGAAUAGGUGGCAGCACAUAGUCAAAACACACAGGACACUCAAAAAGACUUGCCAAAUCAUUGUUGGAAGCUGUAGUGCCAGUCAGAGCAGGCACCCUCUGUGAUGGUGUACACUUUGAAGUACCUGUAGGUAGUGCUGUAGCAGUCUGACGGCUCAUUUCUGUAAUGAAGGAAAAACAGAGUUAAUAUACAAGAGAAUGUGUCAGCACACCUGUAUCUCCAUAACGAUGAGUCUUUUCCCUGUAAUUGUUGAUUUUAAUUUUUAUUUGAGAAAAAAUUAGACAUACCAUUUAAUACAUUGUAUAUUUCACAAACAAUUUUUACGGAGAGCAAAACAAAUGUGAUGCUCAUUAAAUGUGAAGAGUGUGGCUAUCGUGCAUGUGAGCGAAGCUGGAAAGGAUGUAAAAUACUUGCAUGCUGGCCAACUUUACAAAGUUGAGAUCAAGGAACAUAGAAAUUCUGUUAAAUUUUCUAAUUUAAGAUUGAGAAUGGAUUUCUGUUUGCUUGGAGAGAGAGGAAAAAAAAGUAAAGGCACUCCUGAACAAUAGGUAUUUGGUGUGUAUAUUGGAUAUAUAGAACAAGUGACUAGAUCACACCCUAGAUUACAAGAAAAUAAAGAGUUCCAACCAUAAGCAUUCUUCUAUAAUAACCAUCCUACUAAUGACAGUAAGACUAUAUUUCAAAGUCCUCAGAUUUAGCCAAUAUGAAUAUGUGAAAAGUAACGUCUCAAAGAAAACCUUGCUAUUCAAACUUUCUGACAUUUACUCUGCUUACAGGACAGGUGUAGAAAAAUCCUGAUGUUGAGAUGAGUAUGCAGGUGGGAGUGAGGCACUGGCUGGAAAAUGAGCCGAAGGAUGGACCAUUUAGCUCUUUAGCAUCAAGGGGAGGAGGAAAAAAGAAAAUCUAAAGUGAAAGGAAACCCUGCUUUCUCAGAGAAAACAAUAUUCUUUUCAAAAGAGGGUCUUAGCCCCCUACAUCUUUCCCUCCCCAUUCCCUGCUGUUUAGAAUUUUCUGGUCUUUAGGGCAGGUUGUUUGAGUAGGCUGAGGUGGAAAGUCAUUCAGAAGGUGAAGUGGUUCUUUUGCUGAAUUUGCCAAACUAAGUAUUAUUAAUAAGACUAUCCAACAAACUAAAGUCUGAGUGGAAGUUUGUUUGUUUCUUGAGGUAUAUAUAUAUAUACACACACACAUAUAUACACACACACACUUUAAACACUUGUGGCAACUUAAAAGAAUUAUUAAAUUUAGUGUUGUUCAGUGAAAGUUUGCCAUUUUACUACACUUUUUCCGUUCAGAAAAUACAACCCUAGUGGAUAGGCAUGUGGGAAGACAAACUUAAUUUUUCUUGGGAAAAACUAUAUUCAGCAGAUGUGUCAAGAAUUGCUAGAAUCUAACCAUUGGGCCUGACUCCACACUAAACUUUCAAUUACUUGAAGUGCCUCCCCUUCCAGUGUACCUAUUUAGAGUCCAAAGACUUUACUAUGCCAGAUUAGGCUGCUAACGUGUUGAAGUAUAGAACUGUCUGAAAUCAAUGAUUGGUUCCCCAGUGACAGAAGAUAGGUUGAGCCAAACUAGAUUCUACCAUUAUGGUCCUAAACUGAUUCCUGUGGUUACCUGACAGCAAUACUUGCAUGUCUGGACUGCUGCUUUUCUGUUAUGAGGCACUCCUAUUUGAAGCAGAGGCAAGGGGGGGAGGGGCUGCAGGGAGAGAGAAGAUCUCUGUCACAAUCCAGUCUAGUCCUGCAAGACCUUCUCUCUCUAAACGGACACUAGUCGUAAGGCAACUGCCAAAUCCUAUGGAAUGCUAAGCUCCAAGGGUUUGGGUAAUGCCUGAUCACUAUUCCUAGCUCUGGGACACCCAAGAACACUCCUCAGAUGCAGACCCCAUGACACUUUUCUUGAAUGCAGCCACCCAGACCCUGAAACGAGAGCCCUAGCCCUCCUGAUCGCCCACUUUCUUCCCAGUUGCUUAUUAGAUCCAUUCCGUCCAGAGUCCAUCAGGCUGGGUGCACUCUGGUGUCUCUAGUUAUACCCUUCAGGGACCAACACACAAUGUUUGGAAAGGAACUUCUUAGUACGUACAUACACUCACUUUUUAAAAAACAGAAGAGUUAUAGUUCUAUAGAAAAACCGUCAAAGGUCUAUCCUCCUCACCAGUCCUAAGAAUCUUGAGUCAGGGUCUGUCCAAGUUCAGGCUAGGUGGAGAUGUCCCUGUCUUAAGACCAGGGCCUCUUGCUGCUGCUGUUGGUUGUCCCCAUGUCCACACAACCCCUUCUCAUAAACCCAGUCUUGGUCAUGAGCCCCAGUGUAGGGCUCCAUGCGGCGUUCAUGUACAGAAUACCAUUGUUUCUUAGGGGUGGGCAGUAGAUAAAAGCAAGUCCAUAAAUCAUUAGGAGCAGUCUAGAUUAUGCUUCCUUUGUUAGACCUGCAAAAGGUAUGAAAACACCUCCAAAUAGGCUAGCAUGUAUCAGUUCAAACUGGUUCUCAGCACAGGACACAAAGUUGAUACGGGGCUCCAUCCCACCCUGCAGGUUACAAUUAGAGUUAAUCAAAUCAAAUGGUACUGAUAAGUUUUCACAGGCAGCUUCCCCAUCACACACUCUCCACCCAUGGUUUUAAUCACCAUCUCAGGACAAGAUGACAUCCAUCAGAACAAAUUCGGCCUUUCAAACAGCUAACUGCCCUUCAUAGAGCCAGCUAGAGUAACAGGCUGAUUAGGGAUUGGCCCAUGUACACAGACUAUUGUCCCAUGUCCCAGCUGGAGGAGCCAAAACCCCUCCAAAGCCCCUUCUGUUCUCCACCCUCAUCACCACAGAAAAAGCAGGAAACAGUAGUAAUACAAAUAAUGGAGAAACAAGAGAAGUUCAAGUUUAUUUUCAUAAGUUUACUCUUUAAAGCCUACAUGUUUGGUCAUACCUACAUUUUAUGCUAACCUGCUACAUUUUUUCCACCAAAAAGCAAGCAGACAGAUAACUGGAAAACAGUCAAAAGUUAUGUAGAGAAAGUUGAAAAAUUGUUUAAAGCUUUUUUGCAGUUACAGAAACCUUAAUACAACUGCCAGGAUAGCAAAUUGGUGUCAGGUGAAAAUAUAUGCAACACCUGCUAUUUUGGGUGCUAUCCCAUACCUAAGAUCCCACACCAGUCCUUUCUCACUGUGGGGGUGGGAAGCUGGUCUCUAAGCAACACUGAGAAACUAAGGUACUUAGCGAGUCACCACCAAAAAUAUUAUUGCAUAUGGUUUAACAUAAAAAUGUAUCUUAAAACAUUUUACAAGGUUUAAAUAAUAGCAGAAAGAAACUGAAGUACAGAAAAGGGGGGGAAUAUACUUUAAGAUUUUUAAAUUCUGCAUCAAGAAAAAAUGUUCCAUCAUUGAACCAAAGCUGAACCAGUGUAUCAACCUGCUGGAAAAACAAACCUAAGUUAUUCCCAAAACUGCAGAGCAGGGAAAUUAUUUUUUGUUUGCAAUGCCUGAAUCUACUGCAGACUCUCAAAUCUCAGAUAGCAGGCUUAACACGGUGCACCUAGUAAGUUGUAACACAGAAGGUUUAAAAAAAUACCUUUUCUCUUGUUGGUUUUACUUCCUGGCAAACAUGAUGUAAACAGGACUCCCCCCUUCCACGAAUACAGAAAGCUUAAGGUAGAUUUCCCCGUCAUGAGGAGUGAAACAGCUCAUCACGUUUCCCCAGAGAAACAAACACAACUCAUAACAGAGGCCCCUCCUGGUAACAUGAGGCUUGAGGACAGACAGACCUGGAACGAUACCAGAGGGGGGCUACUUUCACGCGAGAGAAUCAGGCAGACGGAGCACUAAAACCUCCAGCGCAGUAGACAGAAAUCUAGCCCACUCCCCCACGUGAAGUGCCUUCAAUAAUCCACAGGGGGAUCUGAGGGAGAAGGAAACAGCUUUGUCCGACCUGUCACACAUACAAGCUCUUCAGAAAGUCUCCCUAAAAUGGUUUCCCAAACUCUUCCGGCUGCUGCCUAGCAAAGGAAGCUCCGCUUCAGACGCUUCCUUUCCCUCGGCUGCUGAGCUACGGAGCGCCCAUGAGAAGGAUCUGGCUACGGACACGCUGCCACCAGCUCUGCGUAGCUGCAGCCAGGCCGAGGAGAGGGGGCUGCAGAGCCAGAGUAAGAGGCAGAAGGGAGAACUCCUGAGUCUUGUGCGUUGUCUCCCGUGGAAAAGCCAUUUGCUGCCAAAAGGUUGGUAGCCUCCCUGCUCUGUGCGAGCUCCUCCUAGCACCAGUCUGGCCGCACGG
This is a long non-coding RNA of Dermochelys coriacea (leatherback sea turtle), 8865 nucleotides long. RefSeq lists it as uncharacterized. The record is from RefSeq and is a predicted model, not a curated record. The transcript has 3 exons. Lineage: Eukaryota; Metazoa; Chordata; Testudines; Dermochelyidae.